GAUGAAGAACGCAGCGAAAUGAGAUACGUAAUGUGAAUUGCAGAUUUCAGUGAAUCAUCGAAUCUUUGAACGCACAUUGCGCCCGCUAGUAUUCUGGCGGGCAUGCCUGUUCGAGCGUCAUUUCAACCAUCAAGCCCUAGGCUUGCGUUGGAGCCCUGCGGCUGCCGCAGGCUCCCAAAUCCAGUGGCGGGCUCGUCGUCGUACCGAGUGCAGUAAACAUCCUCGCUCAGGGAACGUGACGGGUUCUUGCCGUGAAACCCCCCACAUAUCAAGGUUGACCUCGGAUCAGGUAGGAAUACCCGCUGAACUUAAGCAUAUCAAUAAGCGGAGGA
Molecule: unclassified non-coding RNA, 332 nt
Filed under: soil metagenome
Description: partial contains 5.8S ribosomal RNA, internal transcribed spacer 2, and large subunit ribosomal RNA
Rfam family: 5.8S ribosomal RNA (bases 1-120)
Source: RNAcentral